This 772-nucleotide ribosomal RNA is filed under the name uncultured bacterium. RNAcentral describes it as "bacterial SSU rRNA". It matches the Rfam family "Bacterial small subunit ribosomal RNA", at positions 8 to 796 of the family's 1533-position model. The record is from RNAcentral.
AGAGUUUGAUCAUGGCUCAGGACGAACGCUGGCGGCGUGCUUAACACAUGCAAGUCGAGCGGUAAGGCCCUUCGGGGUACACGAGCGGCGAACGGGUGAGUAACACGUGGGUGACCUGCCUCAGCUCUGGGAUAAGCCUGGGAAACUGGGUCUAAUACCGGAUAUGACCUCUCAUCGCAUGGUGGGUGGUGGAAAGUUUUUCGGCUGGGGAUGGGCCCGCGGCCUAUCAGCUUGUUGGUGGGGUGAUGGCCUACCAAGGCGACGACGGGUAGCCGGCCUGAGAGGGCGACCGGCCACACUGGGACUGAGACACGGCCCAGACUCCUACGGGAGGCAGCAGUGGGGAAUAUUGCGCAAUGGGCGGAAGCCUGACGCAGCGACGCCGCGUGGGGGAUGACGGCCUUCGGGUUGUAAACCUCUUUCGACCGGGACGAAGCGCAAGUGACGGUACCGGUAGAAGAAGCACCGGCCAACUACGUGCCAGCAGCCGCGGUAAUACGUAGGGUGCGAGCGUUGUCCGGAAUUAUUGGGCGUAAAGAGCUCGUAGGCGGUGUGUCGCGUCGGUCGUGAAAACUUGGGGGCUUAACCCUGAGCUUGCGGUCGAUACGGGGCAUCACUGGAGUUCGGCAGGGGAGACUGGAAUUCCUGGUGUAGCGGUGAAAUGCGCAGAUAUCAGGAGGAACACCGGUGGCGAAGGCGGGUCUCUGGGCAACAACUGACGCUGAGGAGCGAAAGCGUGGGGAGCGAACAGGAUUAGAUACCCUAGUAGUCC